This 140-nucleotide ribosomal RNA is filed under the name uncultured bacterium. RNAcentral's name for it is "partial 16S ribosomal RNA". It matches the Rfam family "Bacterial small subunit ribosomal RNA", at positions 355 to 507 of the family's 1533-position model. The record is from RNAcentral.
UGGGGAAUUUUGGACAAUGGGGGCAACCCUGAUCCAGCAAUGCCGCGUGAGUGAAGAAGGCCUUCGGGUUGUAAACCUCUUUCAGUAGGGAAGAAGCGAAAGUGACGGUACCUACAGAAGAAGCACCGGCUAACUAUGUG